GGGGUGGAGACUGCAAACCCAGGUGCAAAAUCGGGGCCACGGAGAGGUGCCAACAAGGAAUUAGUGAAAGGGAGGCAAAUACUUGCUUCCAGAGGAAUCGAAGAAAGGCUUUGUAGUAUAUACACUGCACCAUAAAAGACUAUCAAAGGGCAGAGAGGGGAUGAGUGCUCUAUACAGAAUGUACUGCAGAAGCAAAGGUGGGGAAUAAAGACGCUCACCUGCUAAAUCAGCCCGGAGCUCUGGAAUACAAUACCCAUCCUGAGCGUUAUCAGACGGAUGGCUUUGCUGUGGGCCUGCUCAGUGUGCCGAGAAUGCAGAUGUCUUGUGCCGCCCUCUCCUGCCGACUGGAUGACUCCACAAUCAGGCGUUCAGGAAAGCCAUCAAGCCAUAAGGACAGAGGAUGAGCAGGUAGCGAUGCAGGAGGUGAGGUCGGAGACCUGGGAAGAGGAGUCCAUGCCGGCUCCGUGCAGCUCGGGACACAUGCUAGGACCUCAGUAAGCAUUUACUGAGUGAGCAAAACGAAUGGAUGAAUCAGAUCAUCGAAACUGGAAGCUCUUCGCAGCGCACAUUUGAAUGGGGGCGUUUGUGCAGCCACCAGCUCCAUUAACCCGACAUGCCGAUGUGAUUAAUGUUGCUUUCUGCAGAAGUCUUGGCCUGAAAAUCUCAACGCUGAACACCUGAAGGAAAAAAAAAAAAAAAAAGCCCACUGGCAAAGCUUUCUUUUCCCAGUGGGAGACUCCCAGCAACGUUGCCAGUAUCCUGGGGCCAAUACCUUUCUGACGUUGCAAUAACUCCCAAGUGAAACAAAUUGCCCACGAGUUUAUAAGCUUCUUGUUCGUUGGAUGGAUUCCUCCGAGUGCUCUGUUGGCUUCACUCUCCCCACGCACAUGCCAGUGAGUUCCACUGACAAUUCGUGUGCCUGCAAGUUCGCGCUGCGGCAGAGGCAGGCUGGCAUUUCCGAGUUAGCAUCUGCUCUGUGAUCUAUGAUCUACGGUUCCCACUCCCUCCUGCCUUCACUUUGAACUGAAGUGCUGCGUUAAGCAACCCCACUACCCACCGCCGAGCAAGCCGGGACCUGAGUCCUGACGAGUGCUAUCCCAGGUUAACCAGUAAGCCCAGUAUUGCCACUGCCGGGUAAUGAUAGCCACAGUGAACUGAAUGAAGUGACCAUGGUGGCAAGGAUCAAGCUUGGCACUGGAGCUGGCCAGAAGGUUUAACCAGAGGAGGCCCUGGGGGACCCCGUGGGAAGCUAACGUGGAGAAUGGGCAUUUGGUUGUGGCCGCGCGUUUACACAGCAGACACUGAGAUGGAGAAGCGGUAGAGAAAGCAUAGCUGUCACCUGAGCAAAGAUCAGUUUGAUCCUUUGUGGUAAAAAUGCACCUGGGAAAUUAAAUUGUCAGAGUUCCCACGGUGGCUCAGCGGUAACAAACCCGACUAGGAUCCCUGAGGAUUCGAGUUUGGUCCCUGGCCUCGCUCAGUGGGUGAAGGAUCCUGCGUUGCCGUGAGCUGUGGAGUAGGUCGCAGACAUAGCUCAGAUCUGGCGUUGCUCUGGCUGUGGUGCAGGCCGGCGGCUGCAGCUCUGACUCCACCCCUAGCCUGGGAACCUCCAUAUGCCAUGGGUGCGGCCCUGAAAAGAGCAAAAAAAAAAAAAAAAAAAAAAAAA
This 1663-nucleotide long non-coding RNA is filed under the name Sus scrofa (pig). Its description in RNAcentral is "lncRNA (ENSSSCG00035030762.1)". Lineage: Eukaryota; Metazoa; Chordata; Mammalia; Artiodactyla; Suidae. The record is from RNAcentral.